This 432-nucleotide ribosomal RNA is filed under the name uncultured bacterium. RNAcentral's name for it is "partial 16S ribosomal RNA". It matches the Rfam family "Bacterial small subunit ribosomal RNA", at positions 29 to 506 of the family's 1533-position model. The record is from RNAcentral.
AAUGAACGCUGGCGGCAUGCCUAACACAUGCAAGUCGAACGAAGGCUUCGGCCUUAGUGGCGCACGGGUGCGUAACGCGUGGGAAUCUGCCCCUUGGUUCGGAAUAACAGUUAGAAAUGACUGCUAAUACCGGAUGAUGACGUAAGUCCAAAGAUUUAUCGCCGAGGGAUGAGCCCGCGUAGGAUUAGCUAGUUGGUGUGGUAAGAGCGCACCAAGGCGACGAUCCUUAGCUGGUCUGAGAGGAUGAUCAGCCACACUGGGACUGAGACACGGCCCAGACCCCUCGGGGGGGCAACAGGGGGGAAUAUGGGACAGGGGGCGAAAGCCUGAUCCAGCAAGGCCGGGGGAGUGAUGAAGGCCUUAGGGUUGUAAAGCUCUUUUACCCGGGAGGAAAAGGACAGAACCGGGAAAAUAAGCACCGGCUAACUCCGG